UAAAAAAGCUUUGGAUGUAAUGAAACAAGCAACUGCAAUGCCAUCCAGCAGAACUAGCUUUUAUGAUGAGACAGAAUCUGUUCAAAAACGUCUCCAUAUAUCACUGAAGGUUUGGUCAAUGUAUGCUGAUUUGGAGGAGAGUUUAGGGACAUUUGAGGCGAAGCAACUGAUGAGGACAAUUUAGAAGCGUUGGCAAGAAUAGCGAAUCCUGAAGAGAUCUCAAUUGAUGAAGACGAUGAAGACGAAGAUGCAAAGAUUGAAGAAGUUCAACUUGAACAACAAAUGGUGCCUUCAAAGGUAUAAGUAUGACUUUGUAUAUUCAACCUCAUAGCUAUUUU
Molecule: long non-coding RNA, 338 nt
Organism: Xenia sp. Carnegie-2017
Lineage: Eukaryota; Metazoa; Cnidaria; Anthozoa; Malacalcyonacea; Xeniidae
Exons: 4
Source: RefSeq, a predicted model, not a curated record